UACGUAGGUGGCGAGCGUUGUCCGGAAUUACUGGGCGUAAAGGGCGCGUAGGCGGCUCUUUAAGUUAGAUGCGAAAACCCAGGGCUUAACUCUGGGACUGCAUUUAAAACUGAAGGGCUCGAGUGUAGGAGAGGUAAGUGGAAUUCCUAGUGUAGCGGUGAAAUGCGUAGAUAUUAGGAGGAACACCAGUGGCGAAGGCGACUUACUGGACUGUAACUGACGCUGAGGCGCGAAAGCGUGGGGAG
RNAcentral lists this ribosomal RNA (245 nucleotides) under uncultured Gracilibacter sp. RNAcentral describes it as "partial 16S ribosomal RNA". It matches the Rfam family "Bacterial small subunit ribosomal RNA", at positions 524 to 768 of the family's 1533-position model. The record is from RNAcentral. Lineage: Bacteria; Bacillati; Bacillota; Clostridia; Eubacteriales; Gracilibacteraceae.